GCAGCAGCCACGGUAAUACGUAGGUGGCAAGCGUUGUCCGGAAUUAUUGGGCGUAAAGGGCUCGCAGGCGGUUUCUUAAGUCUGAUGUGAAAGCCCCCGGCUCAACCGGGGAGGGUCAUUGGAAACUGGGAAACUUGAGUGCAGAAGAGGAGAGUGGAAUUCCACGUGUAGCGGUGAAAUGCGUAGAGAUGUGGAGGAACACCAGUGGCGAAGGCGACUCUCUGGUCUGUAACUGACGCUGAGGAGCGAAAGCGUGGGGAGCAAACAGGAUUAGAUACCCGUGUAGUCCCUGUCUCUUAUAC
This 302-nucleotide ribosomal RNA is filed under the name uncultured bacterium. RNAcentral describes it as "partial 16S ribosomal RNA". It matches the Rfam family "Bacterial small subunit ribosomal RNA", at positions 508 to 807 of the family's 1533-position model. The record is from RNAcentral.